GACGAACGCUGGCGGCGUGCUUAACACAUGCAAGUCGAACGGUGAACCUCUUCGGAGGGGAUCAGUGGCGAACGGGUGAGUAACACGUGGGCAACCUGCCCCCGGCUCUGGGAUAACUCCAAGAAAUUGGGGCUAAUACCGGAUGUUCACCGCUUCCCGCAUGGGUGGUGGUGGAAAGGGUUUCCGGCUGGGGAUGGGCCCGCGGCCUAUCAGCUGGGUGGUGGGGUAGGGGCCUACCAAGGCGACGACGGGUAGCCGGCCUGAGAGGGUGACCGGCCACACUGGGACUGAGACACGGCCCAGACUCCUACGGGAGGCAGCAGUGGGGAAUAUUGCGCAAUGGGCGGAAGCCUGACGCAGCGACGCCGCGUGGGGGAUGACGGCCUUCGGGUUGUAAACCUCUUUCAGCGGGGACGAAGCGCAAGUGACGGUACCUGCAGAAGAAGCACCGGCCAACUACGUG
Molecule: ribosomal RNA, 463 nt
Filed under: uncultured bacterium
Lineage: Bacteria
Description: partial 16S ribosomal RNA
Rfam family: Bacterial small subunit ribosomal RNA
Source: RNAcentral